CAUUCACGGACCAUUCACUAUUCACCCAUCACUCACAAUUCCUCUUCACUCUCACCGAAAACCCUCCAAUCGUUCCAUCACCCCACGCUCACCUCCACCAGUCAAAACCCUUCAUCACCAUCAACCUUCCACCAACUGAAACGCACAAGCUCUUCGCGACGCUUUCGCCGGCGAAUCCGUUUCAAUCGUUUCCGUCACCGUCAAAACCUCACCCUCUUCAUCGCUUCCCACACAAAUCCUUCAAACCUCGCCGUCAAACCACAAGAAACCCCUUCCGUCGCGCUCUCACCGACAAACCCAUCCAAAACCCUUCAUCGCUCCGCCUUAACCCUCAAAACCCACACGAAGCUCAGCCGUUAACCCCCUCAACUCACCAAACGACAAACCCUUAUCACCGCCGGCAACCCGUGCUUCGCCUUCAACCGCGUAUCCUCCGCACCUCUUGUUCCAACUCUGUUCGGACAGCUGCGAGUUGGCAAGGCGUUUUAGAUUGUAAAACUGUUUGGUUUUAAUUCUUUUGUUUAUGCAGAUAAUGGUUUGGAAUGAAAGGCUAAAAAGCACCGGAUUCAUUUCACCAACUAUGGAGUUUCAAGUUUAACAAGCACUUCGAGACGUUGACGCCCUAUUUUUGCAUUCGGUAAUCUUUUUGAACUGAAAACAUUGAUUGCAAUCGGUUCAUGUUCUGAUGCUGUUUUGGUUAUUGAAUCAUGUGUAGAACUCAAAAAUUAAUGUCGGCAUUUUGAUUGCAUUACGCAUCGGCUUUACUGUAGAAGUUUAUUUCGAUUCCAUAUGUUUCAUGACAGAAUGUGUUUUGGAAUAAGUGUUGGAUUUAUGUCGACAUCGCGGUAAUCCUGUAAAAAAAUUAAGUUGUUCUUAUUAUGUUGGUAACUCUUACUGCUUUCUUUUUUCAGUAGAAACAUAUAAUGUGAUAGUACUACUUUCGGUAGUCUUUAAGUCAUUUUCAUUAUGUUGGAUACUUUGAAAAAAGCACAUAUUGCAGGAAGGCCUAUGUAUCUGUCAUGAAUGGACGAUUGGCAUAUCAAUUUUAGAGUUGUGAAUGACUUGGUUUUAGAAAUGCUUCUUCUUGGUUUAGUUACUGGAUUUUCACGUUUUUCUUCUAGUCAUUAUUAAUUUACCUUUAUUUCAGUAUAAGGUUUUCAUUGUUUUGGAUAGGUCUUGAGAAUCAUAUUUGAUAUGUUUGGUCUUUAGAAUUGUCCAUUUUUUUUAUUGAUUAAUUAAUGAUUACCUUAUGGUUUAAAUUUGUUAAUUACAUUUGAUUAUUUUAUUAAGGAUCAAUUUAACUUGUUGAUCAAUUAAUCUUGAUACUCCCUUCAAAUUA
Molecule: long non-coding RNA, 1339 nt
Organism: Lathyrus oleraceus (garden pea)
Lineage: Eukaryota; Viridiplantae; Streptophyta; Magnoliopsida; Fabales; Fabaceae
Exons: 2
Source: RefSeq, a predicted model, not a curated record